ACUCCUACGAGAGGCAGCAGUGGGGAAUAUUGCACAAUGGGCGCAAGCCUGAUGCAGCCAUGCCGCGUGUAUGAAGAAGGCCUUCGGGUUGUAAAGUACUUUCAGCAGUGAGGAAGGCGGGUGUGUUAAUAGCGCAUUCGUUUGACGUUAGCUGCAGAAGAAGCACCGGCUAACUCCGUGCCAGCAGCCGCGGUAAUACGGAGGGUGCGAGCGUUAAUCGGAAUUACUGGGCGUAAAGCGCAUGCAGGUGGUUUGUUAAGUCAGAUGUGAAAGCCCGGGGCUCAACCUCGGAAUUGCAUUUGAAACUGGCAGACUAGAGUACUGUAGAGGGGGGUAGAAUUUCAGGUGUAGCGGUGAAAUGCGUAGAGAUCUGAAGGAAUACCGGUGGCGAAGGCGGCCCCCUGGACAGAUACUGACACUCAGAUGCGAAAGCGUGGGGAGCAAACAGGAUUAGAUACCCUGGUAGGAUAGCG
Molecule: ribosomal RNA, 473 nt
Filed under: uncultured bacterium
Lineage: Bacteria
Description: bacterial SSU rRNA
Rfam family: Bacterial small subunit ribosomal RNA
Source: RNAcentral